This is a non-coding RNA of Acanthosepion pharaonis, 113 nucleotides long. NCBI's taxonomy places the organism in Eukaryota, Metazoa, Mollusca, Cephalopoda, Sepiida, Sepiidae. The record is from the annotation of a GenBank genome assembly.
UUACAGCCAUAUCACUUUGAAACACUGGCUCUUGUACGAUCACUGAAGUUAUUCAAUGCCAAGUCUGGUCAGUACUUGGAUGGGUGACUGCUUGGGAAUACCAGGUUCUGUAA